Molecule: ribosomal RNA, 835 nt
Filed under: Streptomyces sp.
Lineage: Bacteria; Bacillati; Actinomycetota; Actinomycetes; Kitasatosporales; Streptomycetaceae
Description: bacterial SSU rRNA
Rfam family: Bacterial small subunit ribosomal RNA
Source: RNAcentral
GAUUAGUGGCGACGGGUGAGUAACACGUGGGCAAUCUGCCCUUCACUCUGGGACAAGCCCUGGAAACGGGGUCUAAUACCGGAUAACACUCUGUCCUGCAUGGGACGGGGUUAAAAGCUCCGGCGGUGAAGGAUGAGCCCGCGGCCUAUCAGCUUGUUGGUGGGGUAAUGGCCUACCAAGGCGACGACGGGUAGCCGGCCUGAGAGGGCGACCGGCCACACUGGGACUGAGACACGGCCCAGACUCCUACGGGAGGCAGCAGUGGGGAAUAUUGCACAAUGGGCGAAAGCCUGAUGCAGCGACGCCGCGUGAGGGAUGACGGCCUUCGGGUUGUAAACCUCUUUCAGCAGGGAAGAAGCGCAAGUGACGGUACCUGCAGAAGAAGCACCGGCUAACUACGUGCCAGCAGCCGCGGUAAUACGUAGGGUGCGAGCGUUGUCCGGAAUUAUUGGGCGUAAAGAGCUCGUAGGCGGCUUGUCACGUCGGAUGUGAAAGCUCGGGGCUUAACUCCGAGUCUGCAUUCGAUACGGGCUAGCUAGAGUGUGGUAGGGGAGAUCGGAAUUCCUGGUGUAGCGGUGAAAUGCGCAGAUAUCAGGAGGAACACCGGUGGCGAAGGCGGAUCUCUGGGCCAUUACUGACGCUGAGGAGCGAAAGCGUGGGGAGCGAACAGGAUUAGAUACCCUGGUAGUCCACGCCGUAAACGUUGGGAACUAGGUGUUGGCGACAUUCCACGUCGUCGGUGCCGCAGCUAACGCAUUAAGUUCCCCGCCUGGGGAGUACGGCGCAAGCUAAACUCAAGGAAUUGACGGGGGCCCGCACAGCAGCGGAGCAUGUG